RNAcentral lists this ribosomal RNA (233 nucleotides) under uncultured Chaetomium. RNAcentral's name for it is "partial large subunit ribosomal RNA". It matches the Rfam family "Eukaryotic large subunit ribosomal RNA", at positions 40 to 283 of the family's 3401-position model. Lineage: Eukaryota; Fungi; Ascomycota; Sordariomycetes; Sordariales; Chaetomiaceae. The record is from RNAcentral.
AUAUCAAUAAGCGGAGGAAAAGAAACCAACAGGGAUUGCCCUAGUAACGGCGAGUGAAGCGGCAACAGCUCAAAUUUGAAAUCUGGCUUAGGCCCGAGUUGUAAUUUGCAGAGGAAGCUUCUGGUGCGGCACCGUCCGAGUCCCCUGGAACGGGGGCGCCAUAGAGGGUGAGAGCCCCGUAUGGUCGGAUGCCUAGCCUGUGUGAAGCUCCUUCGACGAGUCGUAGGUAGUUC